CUUCACAAUGCUUUCAGACAUUGACGGAUAAACAGAUGAAUAGCCAAAACCUUAAUAACAUAACCAUUGCAGUUGCAUGCAAACGGAUUCCUACGAAAACAUGAAAUCUAAGGAGAAAUAUAAUUAUAUAAAAAGGUAAAAAGCCUAGGAGAAUAAUAUGAUAUUUGAUGGAAAUAUAGUGCAAACUCACUUCAUAAAUCAUCUAACUUGCAAAAUCUUUCAUAUCUAAAGGAAUCUUCAUCAUCUGACAAUAAACAACUUAAGUCGUUAGAUAUCUUCAAUUCGUAAUCAAUAAGAAAUCUGGAAUUUCUUUCCCUUCAUUGUAAAUGUAAAAGGAAUUUGCAUAUUUCUGGAUACUUCAGCUUGAGUCAUAUGUACGGACAAUGUAGCAAGGAUCAACCAUGUCAAUGCAAGUUCUCGACAGACACAGAAAUAAAAAUAGAGAAGUGGAUACAGUCAUGUGUGGUAGAUGUUUAGUUGUCUGAUAAAGUGAAGUGCUUCAAACAACAACGCGACUGUCUUUUUCGGUGCACACAUGGUUUUAAGAGGCGGCAUUUUAGAUUAGCAUAAAACAAAAUACAAGUAAUAUGGAAGGAAAUAAGGAUAAUGGUAAUCUACAUGAUGAAAUCCACUUAUUACAAUAAUAUAUCUAAAAGGGGACAACAUGCCAACGGGCCGAAAGUAAGAGCCAAACAAACAAUUAAAUACAGGGUUUAUCUUAUUUUAAUCCGUAUCAGUCAACAAUUAUACACAAGCCAAAGAGAUAGGUUACAAAAUCUUGCACAACUCUAGGGAAAAAAGGAAAAAGUAUGGCUUGAAGCUAAACAGACAAAUCCGUCGCAAGUUAUACACUUUAAUACCAAGAACAAAACCGACAUAUGCUGAUAGAAUAUUGAGUAAAUGUCCAGUUAAUUGCAAAACGUAUUAUAAGUACGACACAUAUAUUACAUUGAGGUCUAAAUUUGGGUAAGGAACAUUUCUAAUACUAGGAUAACAAAAGAAGCAAGUACAUCAAACAUUCAUGAAUGCAUGCAACUGCAGGCUUGUCCACAUUGCAAAAAUGCUAUAGCGAUGAAUUGGACCAACAUCCGACUAAUCAUGAAUUCCACGUUUGCUUCUGUUUCAUUACUAAUCAUAAAACUAAACUAGUAGGAUUAAAGAAAUUUACCACUCAAGCAUUGCACCAGCAAAUUAAGUAGUGUGUGGAUAUUCAUGGCACUGUCUU
This 1225-nucleotide long non-coding RNA is filed under the name Gossypium barbadense (sea-island cotton). RNAcentral describes it as "long non-coding RNA (GBAR_LNC006178)". The record is from RNAcentral. Lineage: Eukaryota; Viridiplantae; Streptophyta; Magnoliopsida; Malvales; Malvaceae.